GAUGAACGCUGGCGGCGUGCUUAACACAUGCAAGUCGAACGGAAAGGCUCCUGCUUGCAGGGGUUCUCGAGUGGCGAACGGGUGAGUAACACGUGGGUGAUCUGCCCUGCACUUCGGGAUAAGCCUUGGAAACUGGGGCUAAUACCGGAGAGGACCACAUUUUGGAUGGUGUGGUGGAAAGUUUGUCGGUGUGGGAUGAGCUCGCGGCCUAUCAGCUUGUUGGUGGGGUAAUGGCCUACCAAGCCGUCGACGGGUAGCCGGCCUGAGAGGGUGUACGGCCACAUUGGGACUGCGAUACGGACCAGAAGCCUACGGGAGGCAGCAGUGGGGAAUAUUGCACAAUGGGCGCAAGCCUGAUGCAGCGACGCCGCGUGGGGGAUGACGGCCUUCGGGUUGUAAACUCCUUUCGCUAGGGCCGAAGCGGAAGUGACGGUACCUGGAGAAGAAGCCCCGGCUAACUACGUG
RNAcentral lists this ribosomal RNA (465 nucleotides) under uncultured bacterium. RNAcentral's name for it is "partial 16S ribosomal RNA". It matches the Rfam family "Bacterial small subunit ribosomal RNA", at positions 28 to 507 of the family's 1533-position model. The record is from RNAcentral.